Molecule: ribosomal RNA, 467 nt
Filed under: uncultured bacterium
Lineage: Bacteria
Description: bacterial SSU rRNA
Rfam family: Bacterial small subunit ribosomal RNA
Source: RNAcentral
GGCUCAGAACGAACGCUGGCGGCAGGUCUUAGGCAUGCAAGUCGAACGGAUGACAAGGGAGCUUGCUCCUUGAAGUCAGUGGCGCACGAGUGAGUAACGCGUGGGAAACUGCCCUUCACUGGGGAAUAACGUUUGGAAACGAACGCUAAUACCGCAUACGCCCGCAAGGGGAAAGAUUUAUCGGUGAUGGAUGUGCCCGCGUUGGAUUAGCUAGUUGGUGGGGUAAUGGCCUACCAAGGCGAUGAUCCAUAGCUGGUCUGAGAGGACGAUCAGCCACGCUGGAACUGAGACACGGUCCAGACUCCUACGGGAGGCAGCAGCUAAGAAUAUUGGGCAAUGGAGGAAACUCUGACCCAGCCAAUGCCGCGUGAAUGAAGAAGGCCUUCGGGUUGUAAAGUUCUUUUAGUCAUGAAGAUGAUGACAGUAGUGACAGAAAAAGCACCGGCUAACUUCGUGCCAGCAGCUGC